This 399-nucleotide long non-coding RNA is filed under the name Monodelphis domestica (gray short-tailed opossum). Its description in RNAcentral is "lncRNA (ENSMODG00000047913.1)". Lineage: Eukaryota; Metazoa; Chordata; Mammalia; Didelphimorphia; Didelphidae. The record is from RNAcentral.
GAGUUGGAGGCCAGUGGAGCAUUCCAUCUACUCCCCUCCCCCUCUCUAUAUUCACUGAGGACAUUCCUCCCUUCACCUGCCCCUCUGCUCAGCAGUCCAAUGGAAGUACUUCAUCUCUUUUGGGGGGUCUCCAAAGGCAUAUCUGGAAUUGGAGAUACAUAACAAGUUGCGGAGCUGCAUCAAUUUAAAGUUUUCCCUCUCACUCCUGAAAUUUGAACUAUACUUCCAGGACCUUUCCUCAUCCUUCUCCCAACAUUCCAUUGCAACAAUUGCUUCUGAAUGGGGCAAUAUGAAGGAGAGAGAGCAUCCUUUUCUCAUCCUGGAGUGGAACACAGAUUAGGGAAACUUAAAUGUAUAUUUCAAGACAAAAAAUAAAUUGAACCAACAACAGAUGAAACA